UGAUAAGUCAGCGGUGAAAGUUGCAGCUUAACUGUAAAAAUGCCGUGAAACUGUCGGACUUGAGUGWAAAUGAGGUAGGCGGAAUGCGUGGKKUAGCGGUGAAAUGCAUWAGAWAUCACGCAGACUCCGAUUGCGAAGGCAGCUUACUAAGCUACAACUGACACUGAAGCACGAAAGCGUGGGGAUCAAACAGGAUUAGAUACCCUGGUAGUCCACGCAGUAAACGAUGAUUACUAGCUGUUUGCGAUACACAGUAAGCGGCACAGCGAAAGCGUUAAGUAAUCCACCUGGGGAGUACGCCGGCAACGGUGAAACUCAAAGGAAUUGACGGGGGCCCGCACAAGCGGAGGAACAUGUGGUUUAAUUCGAUGAUACGCGAGGAACCUUACCCGGGUUUGAACGUAGGGAGACAGGAGUGGAAACAUUCUAUUCAGCAAUGACUGCCUACGAGGUGCUGCAUGGUUGUCGUCAGCUCGUGCCGUGAGGUGUCGGCUUAAGUGCCAUAACGAGCGCAACCCUUAUUUCCAGUUACUAACAGGUCAAGCUGAGGACUCUAGCGAGACUGCCACCGUAAGGUGUGAGGAAGGGGGGGAUGACGUCAAAUCAGCACGGCCCUUACGUCCGGGGCGACACACGUGUUACAAUGGUAGGUACAGAGGGCAGCUACCCAGUGAUGGGGUGCGAAUCUCAAAAACCUAUCUCAGUUCGGAUUGGAGUCUGCAACUCYACUCCAUGAAGUUGGAUUCGCUAGUAAUCGCGCAUCAGCCAUGGCGCGGUGAAUACGUUCCCGGGCCUUGUACACACCGCCCGUCAAGCCAUGGAAGCCGGGGGUGCCUGAAGUUCGUGWCCGCARGGAGCGACCUAGGGCAAAACUGGUAACUGGGG
This 885-nucleotide ribosomal RNA is filed under the name uncultured Trichococcus sp. RNAcentral describes it as "bacterial SSU rRNA". It matches the Rfam family "Bacterial small subunit ribosomal RNA", at positions 581 to 1480 of the family's 1533-position model. The record is from RNAcentral. Lineage: Bacteria; Bacillati; Bacillota; Bacilli; Lactobacillales; Carnobacteriaceae.